ACGCGUAGAUAUCUAUGGGCAUUUUAAACCUUCGCUGCCAUGGCGAGUGUGUAGCGCAAGAUUUCAUGUAAUAAUUUCCAGGAAAAGGGAGUUCGAAUGUCUCACGCGACCUCACUAUUGGAUGGUAUCAGUAAAUUUUAUUACUCAAAUGCAAAUUUUGUGUCUGCAAGGCUACAACAGGCUGUUAAUGAUCCCACAUGCGAGAGAGGAAUUAAAGAAGGGAGGAGGAGGAGUAUAAGUAGGAGGAGAGGACUAGGAUUUAAGCAUACUUACCUGGGCGGGGUCAAUCGGUGAUCAGGAAGGCCGAUGGCCUAGAGAGAGCAUCUUCAUUGCACAAGGAAGAGGGCUCUGUCUAGCAUCUCCCAUUGUGGAGAAUGCACGUCAUAAUUUGUUACAGAGGGGGCUCGCGUUCGCGCGGCCCCCACA
Long non-coding RNA from Cryptomeria japonica (Japanese cedar), 426 nucleotides. RefSeq lists it as uncharacterized. Lineage: Eukaryota; Viridiplantae; Streptophyta; Pinopsida; Cupressales; Cupressaceae. The transcript has 2 exons. The record is from RefSeq and is a predicted model, not a curated record.